Molecule: ribosomal RNA, 465 nt
Filed under: uncultured bacterium
Lineage: Bacteria
Description: partial 16S ribosomal RNA
Rfam family: Bacterial small subunit ribosomal RNA
Source: RNAcentral
GACGAACGCUGGCGGCGUGCUUAACACAUGCAAGUCGAACGGAAAGGCCCUGCUUGCAGGGUACUCGAGUGGCGAACGGGUGAGUAACACGUGGGUGAUCCGCCCUGCACUUCGGGAUAAGCCUGGGAAACUGGGUCUAAUACCGGAUAUGACCUUCCAUGUAGUGUGGGGGGUGGAAAGAUUUAUCGGUGUGGGAUGAGCCCGCGGCCUAUCAGCUUGUUGGUGGGGUAAUGGCCUACCAAGGCGUCGACGGGUAGCCGGCCUGAGAGGGUGGACGGCCACAUUGGGACUGAGAUACGGCCCAGACUCCUACGGGAGGCAGCAGUGGGGAAUAUUGCACAAUGGGCGGAAGCCUGAUGCAGCGACGCCGCGUGGGGGAUGACGGCCUUCGGGUUGUAAACCUCUUUCGACAGGGACGAAGCUUCGAUGACGGUACCUGUAUAAGAAGCACCGGCUAACUACGUG